RNAcentral lists this ribosomal RNA (424 nucleotides) under uncultured bacterium. RNAcentral describes it as "bacterial SSU rRNA". It matches the Rfam family "Bacterial small subunit ribosomal RNA", at positions 358 to 773 of the family's 1533-position model. The record is from RNAcentral.
GGAAUUGUUCGCAAUGGGCGCAAGCCUGACGACGCAACGCCGCGUGGAGGAUGAAGAUCUUCGGGUCGUAAACUCCUGUCGAGUGGGAAGAAUAGUCUCGGGGUAAAUAUCCCCGGGGCCUGACGGUACCACUAAAGGAAGCCCCGGCUAACUCCGUGCCAGCAGCCGCGGUAAUACGGGGGGGGCAAGCGUUGUUCGGAAUUACUGGGCGUAAAGGGCUCGUAGGCGGCCAACUAAGUCAUACGUGAAAUCCCUCAGCUUAACUGGGGAACUGCGUGUGAUACUGGAUGGCUUGGAUUUGGGAGAGGGAUGCGGAAUUCCAGGUGUAGCGGUGAAAUGCGUAGAUAUCUGGAGGAACACCGGUGGCGAAGGCGGCAUCCUGGACCAAUAUUGACGCUGAGGAGCGAAAGCCAGGGGAGCAAAC